UACGAAGGGGGCUAGCGUUGCUCGGAAUCACUGGGCGUAAAGCGCACGUAGGCGGGUCGUUAAGUCGGGGGUGAAAUCCUGGAGCUCAACUCCAGAACUGCCUUCGAAACUGGCGAACUAGAAUCUGGCAGAGGGGGGUGGAAUUCCACGUGUAGCAGUGAAAUGCGUAGAGAUGUGGAGGAACAUCGAUGGCGAAGGCAGCCCCCUGGGCUGAGAUUGACGCUCAGGCACGAAAGCGUGAGGAGCAAACAGG
This 253-nucleotide ribosomal RNA is filed under the name uncultured bacterium. RNAcentral's name for it is "partial 16S ribosomal RNA". It matches the Rfam family "Bacterial small subunit ribosomal RNA", at positions 524 to 776 of the family's 1533-position model. The record is from RNAcentral.